GUUUCAGAAGAUGCUACAGGAAACAGACUACUUUUCAUUAGAGACAAAAUACUAAAUUAUAGGCCCAUGUAUAUAUUAAAUAUUGUCUUCUAGCCCAAAACCAUCUUUCAUACCCCACGCCUCAGGAGGUGAUAGGUGAUAGAUCCCAACCCAGAUCCAACCCAAGAGGAUGCCUCCUCUACAUUGACAUGAGAGAAGAAUGACUGCUGCACACGCAACUGCUGAAAAACUGCUUUCCAUCCAGUCUGGCUAAAAGAAAUUGCAUUUGUAUGACAAUGGCACAUUUGAAAUAACAUUCAAAGUUGUCACUAGGGCGGUACCUUUUCGAAAGGUGAUUGUAUAAUUUAGCUACUAAUAUGCACCUUUAAGGUAAUAAAAGGCACACAUUUGGGCUAAAAUAAUAAGACAACAAUGUUUCCUUAAAUAAUAGUCCCACUAUACUGCAGACAUACUGAUAUCAGAAUGUAAGUAACUACAUUUAUAACUCAUUGAAAGACUGAGAUCUGUCAAACAUAUGUAUAACUAUGACACACUGUGGCUAUUUUGGGUACAGCAAAACAACCUAGUUUCUCUCGUUCUCUUUGAGUACUUUUCACUUGCAUGUCCCAUUAGAGUUGAUGUAACUUCACAGGACAUUUAUUUGCACAGGGUUAAAACCGAAUAAACAAUAUUGAUAUGUUUCUGAAGACGUUUUCAUUUAAACUGAUAUGUAACCAUUUUAUGUGUCUCUUUGUCUUUGCAAUAAAUAUACCCAUUCGUACCUUAACAUUGUUACCUGAAGUCAACCUGGAGAAACUGAGACAUAUCUUUAUGGUAAAUAUUCAGCAUGUUGUUUUCCAUAACCUGUUGUGUUUUAAUUCUAAUAAUGUAUGACAAUCGGAAAACAAACAAAUAAAAAUGCAUGAUUUACUUUAUUAAACGGAUACAAAUAUUUAUAA
This is a long non-coding RNA of Carassius carassius (crucian carp), 938 nucleotides long. RefSeq lists it as uncharacterized. Lineage: Eukaryota; Metazoa; Chordata; Actinopteri; Cypriniformes; Cyprinidae. The transcript has 2 exons. The record is from RefSeq and is a predicted model, not a curated record.